Molecule: long non-coding RNA, 329 nt
Filed under: Nicotiana benthamiana
Lineage: Eukaryota; Viridiplantae; Streptophyta; Magnoliopsida; Solanales; Solanaceae
Description: long non-coding RNA (NBEN_LNC009075)
Source: RNAcentral
ACGGAUCUAGAAUAGAUAUAAAGAAAAAUAGAAGAACUUCAAAAGCUAGGUUUUCAGAGGAACUCAAACGAUGAGAAAGGCUUGGAUGGUUGUUGAUCUAAAUCGAAGGAGUCAAGGCCAGGAUCGAGCAGAUAUGGAUUGCCAAAAAUGGUCUAAAACUUGAAACACACAAAGAUCUAGACCAUGAUCUUUUGUGAUCAGGUCAUGAGACUUCGUUAACCAAGCGUACAUAAGUCAUAAAAGGCUAAUGGAUGGUGAAAAUACCAUGGAUCCAAGCCAGGAGGUGGCCGGAGAAGGUGAAUGAAGCCCAUCGGAGUAGAGAGGGAAAG